AUCUGUUGUUCAUUUAUCCAGUUUCCCUUUAUGACUAAUCGGAAAAGCACCUCAACAAAAAAUAUAUUUCUGAAAAACCCGCGAAAAAACCGCCCAUCCAAAAGUGAUUUUUUUUUUUAGAAGAUUUAAUUAUUUUUUAUUUCAUUUUACUAUCUGCAAAAAGACAGUUGAAACGGUGUGACAGGUGCUCUUUUUCCAGAUUGGAGUGCUCGUCAGCAAUCGAUUCGUACGUCGAGUGGGAAAAAGACGGGAAAAGCCUCGAAUUGAACGAGCCAGUGCUUUCGAUCGAGAGCGCGACAACAGCGGACGCGGGGGUGUACGAGUGUUCGUCACCAGCAGGCAAAGCCAUCACUGCAAUUUCCGUUUUCAACGAGGCAAACGAGCCGUUCCGACAGGCGAGAACUAAAUAAUAGGCUUUUGAGAAUUCUGUUGAGAGAAAUUUUGGUUCAGGUGAGGCAAGGAGAAAGGCCAUUAUUGCCGCGCGAGAAUCAGACUUUGGGCUGGGCCACUGUUUUCACCGAGUGGACGGAAUGGUCCAGAUGCAGCGAGGAGAACAGCUGUCACGCAGUUGGUUUUAAGAGAAAACUCGGAUUUUGUUUCGUUGAUUUAAGUAAAAACAAGUCAGCCUGGGCGGAAAAGCUUCCAUGCCGUUCUCCCUUGCUGCCCGAUGAAUUAAAGCGGCAAAAAAUAAUUAAAAGCCGGCCUUCCGAAGUAAUUUACGAUUAUUGCAAGGUGGAUUGCGAGGGACAUGGCAAGAUUUUCAAGGUUUUCGACAGGUUUGGCGCUCUCAUGGACCAAGUGAACAACAGUGCGGGAUUGUUCUCCACCUUGCAGGGCCUGCCAAAACUGCAUCCACCCGUUCGCAGAGAAUAUCUGUUCCCGAAAAAGGGCCAAUCGCUGACCUUCCAGUG
This is a long non-coding RNA of Cloeon dipterum, 911 nucleotides long. RefSeq lists it as uncharacterized. The transcript has 3 exons. The record is from RefSeq and is a predicted model, not a curated record. Lineage: Eukaryota; Metazoa; Arthropoda; Insecta; Ephemeroptera; Baetidae.